Molecule: non-coding RNA, 96 nt
Organism: Acanthosepion pharaonis
Lineage: Eukaryota; Metazoa; Mollusca; Cephalopoda; Sepiida; Sepiidae
Source: the annotation of a GenBank genome assembly
CGUUGAAACACCGGCUCUCAUACAAUCUUCGAGGUUAAGCAACGUCGAGCCUGAACAGUAACUAAAUGGGUGAGCGCUUGGGAAUACCCGGUGUUC